RNAcentral lists this ribosomal RNA (253 nucleotides) under uncultured bacterium. RNAcentral's name for it is "partial 16S ribosomal RNA". It matches the Rfam family "Bacterial small subunit ribosomal RNA", at positions 524 to 776 of the family's 1533-position model. The record is from RNAcentral.
AACGUAGGGCGCGAGCGUUGUCCGGAUUUAUUGGGCGUAAAGAGCUCGUAGGCGGCUCGUUGCGUCGGCUGUGAAAACCCGCAGCUCAACUGUGGGCUUGCAGCUGAUACGGGCGGGCUGGGAUUCGGUAGGGGAGACUGGAAUUCCUGGUGUAGCGGUGAAAUGCGCAGAUAUCAGGAGGAACACCGGUGGCGAAGGCGGGUCUCUGGGCCGAUAUCGACGCUGAGGAGCGAAAGCGUGGGGAGCGAACAGG